UUUGCCUCACCUCAUUGAGUUUCAUAUGUUGCUUAGAAUUUGGCAACAGAUGAAAGGGACCCCUGUGCAGAUUUUUGGAGCUCUUUUUAUGUAGCUCUCUUCUCUUCUCUUCUCUUCAGACCCUUCCCACAUAUCUCCUCUUUAUAAUCUCCAACUGCUUCAGCCUCCCUGAGCUCUGAUGUAUUUCACCCACUCAGUAGUCGGGUGUUCUGCUUGGGUUCCCUCUCCUUGUGAUGCUGUCUGGAAAAUGCUUUCACUAAGAAAGAGCAAUAAUAAUCUUGUGCGGCCUGUUGUUCAAGGUCUGAAAUUGGUUGUUUCAUAUACGUUUUUUUUCCAGUUUUCUAGGUCACAGCAAGAGGGUAUUGUACCCUUGUUUCUUCAUCGUGGACAGAAGCAAAAGACUCCUCUCUUUGUUUUUUUAAAUUUCUUGUGAUUUUUUAAAAAUUGUGGUAAAAUACACAUGCCAUAGCAUUUACAAUCUUUGCCAUUUUUAAGUGUACAGUUCAGUGAUAUUAAGUGCAUUCAUGUUGUUGUGCAACCAUCGCCGCCAUCCAUCUUUAGAACUCUUUUCAUCUUGAAAAGCCGACACUCUGUAUCCAUUAAACAGUAAUUCUCCAUUCUCCCCUAACACCCAACCCCUGGAAACCACUAUUGUACUUUCUGUUCUAUGAAUUUGCCUACUCUAGGUACUUCACAUAAGUGGAAUCAUACGGGGUUUGUCCUUUAGUGACUGGCUUAUUUCACUGCCUUUUUUUUUUUUUAAAUAUAUCAUUUGGUCUUUGCUUGUAGUGUUAGAAUGACGGUUUGCAAUACUCAGAAUGUUUAAGCCAAUGAGCUGAUAUGGUGGAGUGGGAAGGAUUUACAUUGGUAUUUUUUGUUUAUUUUCUUGGUUGGGGGGAUAGACUUUUGUGUGUUUUUAUUCCAUAGCUUGACGUGUAUUUAACCUCCUGUAAGACACUUUAUAUAUGUUAGUGAUGGAGUCUUAAUCUAUAGCACUGCCCACUCAUUUUCUUUUGGCUUAAAAGACAUUGUAUGUUCACUGAAAUUAGUAAUUUUCCAUCUCUCUUAGGUCUUUACCUGCCAGUGAUGCCAUCAGAACUGCCAAAGAUUCAUACUUCUACAGGCCCUUAUUUUUAAACAGCUUGCACAUGAAGAGCUUCAUUGAUUCUCAUGCUAGUCCUUUCCUGUUCUGAUUUCCCAUUCAGGAUAGAAUUUGCCAUUCCUUUGUGUGUGAAGAUGAGUCAACUGGGAAUUUAAAUGAGGCCUUCAGGGUGUGUGCCCUCUAGGCAGGCAUGAUGGAGAAGCUGAUAGAAUCCAUGGUACCAGCCUUCCAAGGUAGAAACAUCUCCAACAAUACUACGUUCAUGUUCAACUACUCGACCUUCAACACAUCCCACCAGGUCCUGGACCAGCUCUUUACUAGAUCCUGUUGGGAAGAGCUGACAUCUGCUGAACAAUACCGAGUCAACCUAUGAAGAAACAUGGAGGAAGUCUGCACUGCUGUUG
Molecule: long non-coding RNA, 1506 nt
Organism: Diceros bicornis minor
Lineage: Eukaryota; Metazoa; Chordata; Mammalia; Perissodactyla; Rhinocerotidae
Exons: 3
Source: RefSeq, a predicted model, not a curated record